AAUUUUUAAUCAUUUUAUUAAAAUUAAUAAAAUUACAUUUAAAUCCUUUUUCAAUUAAAUAAUUUCAAUUUAAUAUUCAUUUAAAUAAAUUUAUUGUAAUUCAUUUAUUCUAAAUUAUUAAUUACAUCUUGAUUUGAUUUAAUUUUUUAUUUAAAAUUUUAAAUAUUAUAAAUUUAUAAAAAAUAUUUUUUUAACAAUGAUAUAUAAAUUUAUAAAUUAAGUAAAUUAAUUCGUGGAUUAUCAAUUAUUAAACAAAUUCCUCUAAAUAAAAUAAAAUACUGCCAAAUUAUUUAAGUUUCAUAUAAUAAUAUUAAUUACUAUUUUAAUAUUAAACUAUUUAAUUUAUAUAAUAGG
Molecule: ribosomal RNA, 354 nt
Filed under: Dahlica lazuri
Lineage: Eukaryota; Metazoa; Arthropoda; Insecta; Lepidoptera; Psychidae
Description: partial 12S ribosomal RNA
Source: RNAcentral